AGAGUUUGAUCCUGGCUCAGAUUGAACGCUGGCGGCAUGCCUUACACAUGCAAGUCGAACGGCAGCAUGAUCUAGCUUGCUAGAUUGAUGGCGAGUGGCGAACGGGUGAGUAAUACAUCGGAACGUGCCCUGUAGUGGGGGAUAACUAGUCGAAAGAUUAGCUAAUACCGCAUACGACCUGAGGGUGAAAGUGGGGGACCGCAAGGCCUCAUGCUAUAGGAGCGGCCGAUGUCUGAUUAGCUAGUUGGUGGGGUAAAGGCCCACCAAGGCGACGAUCAGUAGCUGGUCUGAGAGGACGAUCAGCCACACUGGGACUGAGACACGGCCCAGACUCCUACGGGAGGCAGCAGUGGGGAAUUUUGGACAAUGGGCGAAAGCCUGAUCCAGCAAUGCCGCGUGUGUGAAGAAGGCCUUCGGGUUGUAAAGCACUUUUGUCCGGAAAGAAAUGGCUCUGGUUAAUACCUGGGGUCGAUGACGGUACCGGAAGAAUAAGGACCGGCUAACUACGUGCCAGCAGCCGCGGUAAU
This 527-nucleotide ribosomal RNA is filed under the name soil bacterium RFS-I28. RNAcentral's name for it is "bacterial SSU rRNA". It matches the Rfam family "Bacterial small subunit ribosomal RNA", at positions 8 to 524 of the family's 1533-position model. The record is from RNAcentral.